UUUACCAGGGACCAGAAGCGAGGUGGCCGGAGCCCUUGUGCAGUGGGAGUGACAGUUACCCGGGCCCGCACUCCCCUGUCCUCCCGGCUCCGGCCGCAGACGCCCCCACGCCGCCAGCCCCGCCACAGAACCGCGGAAAGCUGGCAUGAGAGCACGGGGCCUCCGGAGACCCGGCCGCAGGCCCGUGGGCGCCGCGCCGGCGAGGACGAGAGGCUUAGAUGUUGGUGCUCAGCCCGGUCUCGUCAUUCUAAGAACUCUAACCGAAGGAAUCCUACGUCCACUGUCUGCGACCACUUCCUGAACUCUUAACAAAGCUCUAUUUCUGCUAAAGGCUGGGGGCUGACUUGUGCAGACUCAUUCCUUCCUACUUUCGAGGGACAGGACAAAAUUGGAAGCACUGGUUAUGAACCCAAGGCUUUGCCUGGAAUAUCAUAUUUGAGAAUGAUGUUCAUUUGAUCAGAAAUGACCUGACACUUUUAAGGAACUAAGGUUGAUUUUAAGGAGCCAAUGGUUACAAAGCCUUCUUGGGAAAACUGACCUGGUACUUGUUUGCCAAGUUCCCAGCCUUACAGGUAGCUGAUGACUGUGCAGACUCUGUCUUGUCUGAUGAGAUUUCACUGACCUCCUUCCCCCACCCCUCAUGGAAAAACCAGUUUUGGUACCUUCCUUUAAGUUGGACUGGAUCUGUUGCCUUGUCAAAAUUGUCGAUCCUUACCACAUUUUCAAGUCUUUCAGUUUUCUUCAAUAUCUGACUACAAUCUUCCAAACUAACUUUUCAAAUUUUUCUCCCUCCUGCCUGACUCAGCAUUACCAAGAACUAAAACCUGGCUGCCUGGAUCCCUAUCAGCACUUCAGGUUGCCGUGCAGCUGGCCUUUCCCCCCAGGAUCUGAAGAAGCUCUGCAAGCUGUAGCCUAGUGGCCUGGCAGCAACCUUUAAGGACCCAGCUCCACAGCAGACCAUGCGCAGGCUGGAAUUCCCCCUGGACAAGCUGCUGCUGGACCACUAAGGAAGGCCAACAAAAUACUUGGAUCACACGUGCCCGUGAAUGAAAGGUAGCCAAGACGACGCACAACAUCACCAAGAGUAUGGCCAUCUUAGCUUUGAGAAACUCAAGGAGUGGUGCUGCAUGAUUUUCCUCCUCUAGAAUCCCCUGGACUGGUGAAUUCUCAAGGUUCAACGCCUGGCUCUUUACCUUAAUACAAUUCUUAUACUAUUAUGUCUCUAUUUCAGGCAUCCCUCUUUUAAGAUAUCUGAUCUUCAGGACCAUAAAACAACUGACCUCUGCCCCACCUCUCAACAGAUGCGCCACCAGUUUUAGAAGAACAACACCAGCGAGAACGCUGGAGAGACUGUUUCUUAGGCCCUGCUUCCUGCCCCUUGGGAGACUUAUGCUUGCCUCUGAGUUGUUCAGUGACAAAAGAUAGUCAUCUGGAACGGGGAGGCGGGACUGACAUUACUGAGCGUUACCUGAGCUCUAUGCAACUUCAGCAGUGAUGCUUGAGAAAUCCCCCCUACCCCUCUGUGCCUUGGAAAGGACAAACCAGCUAACCACAAAGGACCACACUGCCCUCAGAGUUUCCAAGGGAAGUCUCAACUCCAUCCUUUCUCAUGACUCCUGUAAGAUUCCAAGAUGGCUCCCUUGUUUACCUGCCUCUCUAAAACCCCUGGUCCCCUUCCUUUUCUUUGAGACGUUCCUCAUCAGUGGAUGUUCUCCUUAUUGCAAUCACCUGAAUCAAUCAUCUUCUUAAUUAUCAGGUGAAUUUUUUCUGUCACAGCUCCAGUGAGGACCUCCCUUUGAUGGCAGCCGGCACGUUGCCCCCGACUGCCCGGCUGGAAUAACAACCAACUGUGCCCUGAUACUCUGUUCAGCCCUCCUGAGGACAACCACCCUUUCGACAGCUCAGGACAUGAGUAAACAGAGAAGGACAGCAUGGCCCUAGUUGCCUCAGGUAGUGUUGGAGUUACGGAAGGAAGCUCUCACGUCCUAUGUUGAAUGGGACAGCAAGGAAUCAGUGUGAGAUACUUCUGAGAUGGGGGUAAACACACCCAGGGAUGUCUUUAACAUCAGCUGGACAGGGGCCGGGCAGGGCGCAGGCUGAGGCAGAGCUGGACCGCAGCAGGUGCUGCUCACGGGGGAGCUGUCGGACUGACCAUUAUGAAGCGAAGGGUGAAUCUGAAAGUCAGAAAUGCCAGAGGCAGCCCUAAAAGCUGGGAGGAGGGGAGAUCCCAAAGAGGGAAAGUCCAGGGGAAAGACUGGCCAGGAAGUAAAAGGUGUACAGGCCUUUAGCCAACCCUGACCCCGUCUGAUUCCUCUUCCUGGAGGAGAGCGAGGGCAGGCAGGGAAGGCUCCACUGGGCAGAACAUGUACCCUCAGGGGUCUCUGAUGGCAGCAUGUGACAGGAUUCACCACCUCUGCAACUUCACAGGAAGUUGAAUCGGAAAGAGGCCUUCCAGAUUUCAGCAAGGGCAUGAUGCUGAGAAGGGCGAGGAGACCAGAUGAUGUCUCCAUUCUGGAACUGUCUCUCUUGUAGCCUGAGAGAUCUAGACAUCCGUGGUGUUUUUUUUUUUUAAUGUAUCAGAUAUGAUUCCCCUUGGUGAAGCAAGCAUGUCUGGGGCGAGGUCCUAGGGGACAAUGAUAGCCAGGAAGCUCGUGAGAAUCCUCAGGGCCCUUGGGUAUUCUCUGUGCUGUCCCCAGGCCUAGCACAGUGCCUGGGACUGAGGAGCCAUUUUAAGAAGCUUAAGAAUCUGUACUUACAGUACAAAAUUGUGUCCUGGGUCAUAAAAAACUGACAAAGUUAGAAAGCUCGUUAGAGGCAGGAUGAGGGCAUGGGUCAUGCUGACUAUGUGACAUGCAGCCAGGAGUCAUAUUAAACAUGUUUAUUCACCAGAACUACACUAUUUCUACAAGUAUAUACUAAGCAGAAUGGAUUCUGGCUAAAAAUCAUCUCUGUGUAUAGCAAUGGUAGGACCUCUCUGGGCUCUGGCUCACUUAUUAUUUGAAUAAAACCAGGGGACAGAGAGGUGGAUUGACACUCAUUGGGCUUUGAACUGUGCUUCCAGAACUGGGGUACAAACUCAGGCCACUAGGUAGUCGGUGGAUUAGAAUCUAACCUUGACCAAUAGGGCUGUGAUGGCUGGAAAUGGGCUCUGGUCCAGGAGAUCAUGUGCAUUGUCUUGGUGACAUCAUCCGUAACACCAGCAGUUCGAGAGGCCACAACCAUUACAGAGUCCAGUUUUUCAGGGGCCUCUGGCAUCCAAGGGGAAUAGGGAGCCUUUAGAGUCUUCUUGGCCCUUGCCUGGACCUGAGUAUAUUCUGCCAGAAACCUCACAUCUGGAUGUGUCUGGGUUUCUGUCCUGGCAGAAGUACAGGCCUGUGUGCUGGCUCUUCCCCAGGGAACAUGCUGAAGGGGUCAUAAUGGCAGAGCAAGCCUCCCCUGUCCUCUGUCCUCUGGAAGUCCCUACCCAAUGGUACAGGACCUUGUCCAGGGGCUGCUGAAUGCAACACUGGCCUGUUGCUGGUAUCUGGUCAUGCUGGAGGUUCUAGGAGUGCUAAGCUAUAAUUUAUUUAGAAUGGAGCACCUUCCUUGAGUUAGACUGGCCUCUGCCAGCUCCUGUUAUUUGGGCUCAUAUGAUAAGGUUUAGCUGAGAGGUUGCCUAGGCUAGCUGUUUGAAAACCCCAUCUUUGAAAGUUAAGUGCCCACUCUAAGUGACCAGGGCUGAGUUUUCCUGUCUCUGAGAGCUGUUUCCAGACGCUGUCGUUAGCCUUUGAGGCCCAGUAUGUCAGAUUCUGUUAAGUUCAUCUCUCCAAGCCUUAAAACCUCUUUUAAUGUUAUCUGUGUCCUGAGAGUUGGUUUCUCACAGAACUAGAUUCUUUGAAAAAUUGGCAACAGAGCAAAAGUUUUCUAGCAACAUGGUGGCCCCGUAUAUACGUUUGGGAGGCUUCCAAGCCAGGCGGACAUGGGUGGGCUGAGUUAGAAUAGGCUUGGAUGAGGGCAGAUAAGAUCGUGAUUUGGGGAGGAUUUUUUGCUAGUUUGGGGGUCCAAAGAAUAUUCCUUUUAUUCUGAGGAAGUCUGUUGACAGGAUGGUAAUGAAAAAGUGAGGGUUUUUUUGGUUUGUUUUUUUGCGGUACGCAGGCCUCUCACUGUUGUGGCCUCUCCCGUUGCGGAGCACAGACUCCGGAUGCGCAGGCUCAGCGGCCAUGGCUCACAGGCCCAGCCGCUCCACGGCAUGUGGGAUCUUCCCGGACCGGGGCACGAACCUGUGUCCCCUGUAUCGGCAGGUGGACUCUCAACCACUGUGCCACCAGGGAAGCCCAAAAGUGAGUUUUUGAAUACCUAUGGCAACCAGAGAAGUAUUAUUCCUGAUGUAUAAGAGUUUAGCCCCUUGAAUGCAGAAACCUAGUCAAGUCAACCUUAAGUAUUUUGCAUAUACAUUUUGGGGGAGGGGACACUGGCCCACACGUAGUGUAAAGACAGGGUCCAGGAAAUAACUGUGGGUCAGAACAUCAGUCAAGUAGGGCUUUGCCCCUGACCAGGAGGUCUUGGAGGACUACACCUGUGAGUCCUCAGAACCCACCUGGUGUGGUUCAGGCCUCAGAGUAUCACCGAAGACCUGGACUGAUCCCCGCACGUCCAGAAGACCUUCUCUGCUGGCCCACAGGCCCACAUCUGAACUGUUUGUCCUCAGAAUGUCCAGCUUAAUGGAUGGACUGGUUCCUCCAAAUUGACUUCAUGAAUUGAAAAUGAUUGGAAGUGAGUCUCUUACUGUGACCACCUUGGUAGCCACCAUACAGGGUCUGGGCCUGGUGAGAAAAAAUAGAGGCAGGGGUUUGAGGGCUCAAAGUACUUCCAUGGGAUUUGUAUGAAUAUGCAACCUAGUUAUAUCCUAGUUUCCCUUCCAGACUGAUGUCUCCUGUCUUGGUGGACCCAGCCCCAUUCAGGGCUGUCCUGUUUUAGCUGGAGCUCCCAGUUUUUCUUCUUUACAAUGACAUCAGUCCUUGCUGGGUGUGGUCAAGGAUUUGCUAACUCCCCAUUGUAAGUUUCUUCUAGGUUGUCCUGGACGGAAGACCUGAGCUUCAAAAGAUGAAUAUACUCUUCAAACUCUGCGUCUUGUAUAAUCUGGUUGAAGGACACCUACCUAGGAGAGUGCUGGUUGCAGGAACUGGACGAGGCUCUAUGUUCAAGUAUCCAAGUGAGACUGAGACCAACGGUUUCCAGUUGGGUGGCGCCAGGAGCAGUGGGGCGUCCAAUACGGGUUACAGACAGCAGCUGAGGAGCUUGUAGGUGUGCUCUCGGUGGCAGAGGGGAAGCCCAGUACAGGGACUCAUCUGUGCUAUCUGUCUAUAGUGGUGUGAACCAGAGUUUAGAAGUCUCUUUGACACCCUGUAAUUUGUCAUGAAAAAGAUCAUAGUUACCUAUGAAAGGUAGCCAGAUCCUUUCUGUCCUUGAUUUUAGGGUGAAGAGUUGGAUCUUGAUUUCUGUAAAUGACAUCUUUCUUGGGGGCUGGGAGGGGAUAGUUGGGAAAGAGCAUCUAUUAAGUUGAGGAAAGUGCAUGAUUCCCUUGGGUGGUUUGUCCAUUUGGCUGGUGGGAGUGUGUGUGUGUGUGUGUGUGUGUGUGUGUGUGUGUGUGUGUGGUGCAUACAGGUGAGUGAGUGUAUGUGAGAGUGAACAUGAAUGUGUAUAAAUGUGAGGGAGGUAUAGCAGGAGGUGGCCUGUAACACUUACACAGGAAGCUGACUGACCCACCCCAGGCAGUGCAUGCUGGGCUGGUCAGAAAGGCAAGAAGAUGUUCAGUUGUAUUAACCUGUUGUCUUUUACCCAUUUCUUUCCCUACCUCUCCAAAAUGGGUUGAGUUUGGCAGGUAGGACAAGCCUCAAUACAGGUAUACCCGACCUCAUACUGAAGAGUGACCAAUGACCUCUGCCAGAAGAAGGAUCCAGGGGUCAAAGCCUUCCAGGGACUAGAAUGGAGACACCAAGCCCUCACUCAAGCAUCAGCCUGGGCUGGAAUCUGGCCUUCCCAAGAUCCUGUGACGGUGGAAGAGAGCUCAGGGAAGUUGCCGGCUACUGUGGUUUAGUCCCACUGAUUCCAGAAAGAAUUGUUCAGACCUAGAAUGAAGAAGACUCUCUCCAGUCCAGGCAUGGUCUGAGUGACAACGCACCAUGGUACAUGCCCAGAUUGGUGCAGCUAGAUGCAGCUGAUGGACUUGGCACCCGGCCUCCACUUGCCAUCAGGGCCUCCAAGAAGGAGCUGCAAUAUCUCCGGCUAUUUUAGGAGUGAUACAGAAGAUGUUAUUUGUAUUGCCACGGCGUCUGAGGAACGGUACAUAAGGUCUGGCGGAGCUUAGCCUCUGGUUCUCUAAGGCUCAGGAAGAUUUGUUCUGCAUGUUCUUCUUUGCUCCUUGCUGAGUCAUUCGUGAGACUCGAUCACUUCAUCUGAGCUCAUUUGCCUUUCCCAGGCUUGGAACCGGCAUCACUCACAUUUCAGUUGCCACUGUAAAGUUCCAAGGAGACGAUCGAUUAUUACUUCACUUUUAAUUUCUCCUCCUGUUAAUCCCUCUCUGUUUUCUACCCCUGCCCCCCCCACAGCCCCGCACCCGUCUUCUAGUCUGUAUUCCAGUCCUGCCUACACAUCAGAGCACUUCCCCCAACAAGCCGUGCAAGGGCACCUCCUAAGGCCCGUAAUGACAGUUGUGCAGAGUCUGAGGGUAGGAAUCAAACAAUUCACAAAGACUUUAAGACUGUUUUUUAAAAUCUUGAAGGGAUAGUAUUAAAAUCGCAAAUUUUUUGGAAACUACUCUGCACAGGUCCUGUGCCAGAGGCUUCACCUAUGUGAUUGCUGAUCCUAAAGCAAAAGGGAAAUGCUGCACUUCAUCAAAUCAAAUGCUACUCUGUGUAACAUUAAGGACAAAGAAACCCCAACAACACCUUGUCAGCUGUGUUGUAACCUGACACUGAUUGCAGAUUGCAUCCUAAUUUCAGAGAUGUUAAAAUGUGAAGGGAAAAAAAAGUGCAUCUUAGACUUGAUGGUGAGGAGUUGUACAGAGAAAACUGACGCUCAGAGAGGCUGGGUAAUGUGGCCAGAGCCACAGAGCUAAUCAGAGGCAGAGCUGGCUUUAGACUGUGCCAGAGUCCAUUGCCUCUCCAGACGUUUGAAGCCUUUUUCUCCUGACUGGUUUCCUUUUCCUUGCCUGCCUGUGUCUCAGGAACCAGUCCCUAAGCCAUCUGUCCUGGAUAAAAGAGCCUCUGCUUUCAGACAACUGACAGAGCUAAAGCAAGUGUCCUUUUGAGACUGCAUCCCCUCCUCACGGUGCCUAAUUAUAGAGACUGCCCAUUCUGCUGUCGCUAGGUUAUUUUUGGCAGGGGGAGGUGGGAGGGGAAGGAGUGAUGGCCAUGCAGGCUUCCCCUUCUCCCCCGGCUACUGGCUUCUUUAUCUCUUACCCUGAGACAGCAGCGGAGGGGCCAUGGCCCUUGCCAAGUGGAUUAAUAAAAGCUGAUUUAGGGGGCUAGAAGCUGCUGGGGAAAUCUACCCACCCCUCUCCUUAUCAGGUCUUCUCGCCCUACUCCAUCAAAAUGUGCUGCCCCUCUGAUCCCAAACUCAACGUCACCCCUUAGACUUCAAAGUUUUGUUUCCCUCCGAACUGAUGUCCUGUGUCUCCCGAGAUGAACUCCCACCUGCCGAGGCCACUUCCCACUUACUUGUUUAUUCAUUGGAUGAUUUAAUAAAUAUUUAGUGAG
This is a long non-coding RNA of Globicephala melas (long-finned pilot whale), 7736 nucleotides long. RefSeq lists it as uncharacterized. The record is from RefSeq and is a predicted model, not a curated record. Lineage: Eukaryota; Metazoa; Chordata; Mammalia; Artiodactyla; Delphinidae.